UACUAGAGUAGCACUCGCAUAUCAAUAAGCGGAGGAAAAGAAACUAACAAGGAUUCCCCUAAGUAACGGGCGAAGUGAAGCGGGAAGAGCUCAAAUUUGAAAUCUUAAAGGGUUUCCCUUUACGAAUUGUAGUUUAAAGAAGUGUUUUCUGUUGAGGUUUUGGUAAAAGUUCUUUGGAAUAGGACAUCAUAGAGGGUGAGAAUCCCGUAUUUGACCUUUACUUUCAACUUUGUGAUACACUUUCAAAGAGUCGGAUUGUUUGGGAAUGCAGUCCAAAAUGGGUGGUAAAUUUCAUCUAAAGCUAAAUAUUGGCGAGAGACCGAUAGCGAACAAGUACCGUGAGGGAAAGAUGAAAAGAACUUUGAAAAGAGAGUUAAACAGUACGUGAAAUUGUCAAAAGGGAAGCGUUUGACACCAGUGUUGUUUUUCUGAAAAUCAAUUAAAGAACUGUUUAUGCUAAGCUGUUUAGACUUUAUCAGCUAUCUGUUUAGUUUUAGGCUUUUCUUUAAUGCACUUUUCAGAUAACAAGUCAACAUCAAUUUCUUUUGCUGUAAAAAAGCUUGAGGAAGGUGGCUUGAGAUUCGUCUUAAGUGUUUAUAGCCUCUUGCCUAUGCAGUCGGAGAGAUUGAGGUCUGCAGCGUAGAUCCUUCGGGGCUAAAUGCAUUUGUGCUAAGUUAUAGCAUUUUAUAGACAACUUGUUGACUAUGAUUUGUCUUGUAGCUUACUCGCUUAUGUUAUUUUACCUACGCUUAGGAUGUUGAACUACUGAGACAUAGA
RNAcentral lists this ribosomal RNA (777 nucleotides) under uncultured Neocallimastigales. RNAcentral's name for it is "partial large subunit ribosomal RNA". It matches the Rfam family "Eukaryotic large subunit ribosomal RNA", at positions 20 to 644 of the family's 3401-position model. Lineage: Eukaryota; Fungi; Neocallimastigomycota; Neocallimastigomycetes; Neocallimastigales. The record is from RNAcentral.